AAGAUUUGUAAAAGUUCUAGAAACCAUGGU
This 30-nucleotide non-coding RNA is filed under the name Cricetulus griseus (Chinese hamster). The record is from RNAcentral. Lineage: Eukaryota; Metazoa; Chordata; Mammalia; Rodentia; Cricetidae.